This 501-nucleotide ribosomal RNA is filed under the name uncultured bacterium. RNAcentral's name for it is "partial 16S ribosomal RNA". It matches the Rfam family "Bacterial small subunit ribosomal RNA", at positions 30 to 523 of the family's 1533-position model. The record is from RNAcentral.
AUUGAACGCUGGCGGCAGGCUUAACACAUGCAAGUCGAGCGGGGGAAGGUAGCUUGCUACUGGACCUAGCGGCGGACGGGUGAGUAAUGCUUAGGAAUCUGCCUAUUAGGGGGGGACCACAUCUCGAAAGGGAUGCUAAUACCGCAUACGUCCUACGGGAUAAAGCAGGGGAUCUUCGGACCGUGCGCUAAUAGAUGAGCCUAAGUCGGAUUAGCUAGUUGUUGGGGUAAAGGUCUACCAAGGCGACGAUCUGUAGCGGGUCUGAGAGGAUGAUCCGCCACACUGGGACUGAGACCCGGCCCAGACUCCUACGGGAGGCAGCAGUGGGGAAUAUUGGACAAUGGGGGGAACCCUGAUCCAGCCAUGCCGCGUGUGUGAAGAAGGCCUUAUGGUUGUAAAGCACUUUAAGCGAGGAGGAGGCUACUUUAGUUAAUGCCUAGAGAUAGUGGACGUUACUCGCAGAAUGAGCACCGGCUAACUCUGUGCCAGCAGCCGCCGUAA